UACGUAGGGUGCGAGCGUUAAUCGGAAUUACUGGGCGUAAAGCGUGCGCAGGCGGUUGUGCAAGACCGAUGUGAAAUCCCCGGGCUUAACCUGGGAAUGGCAUUGGUGACUGCACGGCUAGAGUGUGUCAGAGGGGGGUAGAAUUCCACGUGUAGCAGUGAAAUGCGUAGAGAUGUGGAGGAAUACCGAUGGCGAAGGCAGCCCCCUGGGAUGACACUGACGCUCAUGCACGAAAGCGUGGGGAGCAAACAGG
This 253-nucleotide ribosomal RNA is filed under the name uncultured bacterium. RNAcentral's name for it is "partial 16S ribosomal RNA". It matches the Rfam family "Bacterial small subunit ribosomal RNA", at positions 524 to 776 of the family's 1533-position model. The record is from RNAcentral.